GACGAACGCUGGCGGCGUGCUUAACACAUGCAAGUCGAACGCUGAGGCUCAGCUUUUGUUGGGUGGAUGAGUGGCGAACGGGUGAGUAACACGUGAGUAACCUGCCUCCUUCUUUGGGAUAACGCCCGGAAACGGGUGCUAAUACUGGAUAUUCACUGGUCUUCGCAUGGGGGUUGGUGGAAAGGGUUUUUCUGGUGGGGGAUGGGCUCGCGGCCUAUCAGCUUGUUGGUGGGGUGAUGGCCUACCAAGGCUUUGACGGGUAGCCGGCCUGAGAGGGUGACCGGUCACAUAGGGACGGAGAUAAGGCCCAGACUCGUACGGGAGGCAGAAGUGGGGAAUAUUGCACAAUGGGCGCAAGCCUGAUGCCGCGACGCUGAGUGAGGGAUGGAGGCCUUCGGGUUGUGAAACUCUUUCGCUCAUGGUCAAGCCGCAACAAUGGUUGUGGUGAGGGUAGUGGGUAAAGAAGCGCCGGCUAACUACGUG
RNAcentral lists this ribosomal RNA (483 nucleotides) under uncultured bacterium. RNAcentral's name for it is "partial 16S ribosomal RNA". It matches the Rfam family "Bacterial small subunit ribosomal RNA", at positions 28 to 507 of the family's 1533-position model. The record is from RNAcentral.